This 1418-nucleotide long non-coding RNA is filed under the name Homo sapiens (human). RNAcentral describes it as "long intergenic non-protein coding RNA 1348". The record is from RNAcentral. Lineage: Eukaryota; Metazoa; Chordata; Mammalia; Primates; Hominidae.
GGAGAGUUAGAAGCAAGCCACGUGGGUGACUUCUUUUCAAAGUUCUCUGCCUCAGAGGAGGAAGCCCCAUGGGUGGAGGCCAGGCCCGAGGCCAUCCUGCUCUGGGCCAGAGCGUGCCUGUGUCUGAUGAGCGAGGACAUGCCUCGUCUGGCUGAGCCUUCCAUUUCACACCGGCAGCUCGAACCCCCCAUCACGGCUUCCUUUUGGGCUCCCCUCCUCAGGGGACCGAGCUUGAAAUGUGCUUGCCCUUCAUCCCUAAGGCCUGCGUCCCUUCCUCAGAGAGGACUAAGCCCCUCUCCCAGUCUUGAUGUUCUCCGAGGCCCUUCUUAUUCACAGAACCUAUCUGGCUUAUUUAUUCGCUUGCUUGCUUCUGAUGUCUUCUCUUACUGAAAGGAAUCGAAGGGCCAAGGAAUGUGUUUUUCGUUGAUGUCAACUUGCUGCAAAGGACCACACCUGCUUCUCGACCCAGGAACGUGGGAAAGGGAAAGGCUUGGCUUGUUUUGGUGGAGAUGGAGAUGCUGGUAACAGUGGAGGAAUGCCCUCCUUCUGAUUCACAGUGGGGAGGUGCUCUGGGCCCCUGCCACUGCCCGAGGACUUCAGGUAAGUCAGCCCGUGGCCCCCAGCCCUUCCCUGCCAGACGCCCUGGCAGACGGCUUGUUCUGACAAGUAUGCGCUUUCUGGAUGGAACAGCCUCCCUUUUGUCCAAACCCUUCCUUUGAAUUUAAAAUGCACAAAGAACCUUUCGAAGAGGAAAAGAAUGGGAUCAGGAAGAGGAGGCUGUAUCUCAUUUGGACACUCAAGCCCUCAGCUCCUGCCCAAGAGUUUCUGGAAUUUGCUCCCACAUCACGUCAUGACUUUUGGCUCCCAGCCAGCUUUUGGUUGUCCUGCUGAGAGGAUGCGGCAUUUGAGCAGUAGCUUCUGGAGCCCAGAGUGAAGCCCCACCCAGGCACCCUGACAGGACCACAGGAAUGCUCCUGGCACAGCAAGCAGGACUCUUGAGAAGCUCAGCCUCCACGCUCCUUGUAGAUGUUCAGUUCAAACUCCACAGUUUGUGUGACUCACUGAAGGGCUUGGUUUGGCUCUCGCUGACGAGUCUGUCAUCGGUGCCAGCAUGCCAUUGGGCGUUUGCCAGACAGGGCCUAUCAUGUGGGCCCUACACCUAUUCACACACCUGCCAUUUGCCUUCAGAAUCCUGUUCCCAGUGGGUAAUGGGUUUAAAAGCCCAUAGCUGAGUUUAUCCACAUUGGAUCCGACCCACAUUCCAAUGCUCUUUAGACAACCGGGUUUCACCGUGUUAGCCAGGCUGGCCUCAAACUCCUGACCUCAAGUGAUCCACCCGCAUCGACCUCACAAAGUGCUUGGAUUACAGGUGUGAGCUACUGUGCCAGGCCAGAAAAAAUAAAAUAAAAUAAAAUAAA